This is a small nuclear RNA of Rattus norvegicus (Norway rat), 64 nucleotides long. Ensembl annotates it as U7 small nuclear RNA. Lineage: Eukaryota; Metazoa; Chordata; Mammalia; Rodentia; Muridae. The record is from Ensembl.
GAGCAAAUACAGCUCUUCUAGAAUUUUUCUAACUGGGUUUCUGGCUUUUGUUGGAAAAUUCAAG